GAUGAACGCUGGCGGCGUGCCUAAUACAUGCAAGUCGAGCGAACAGAAAAAGAGCUUGCUCCUCUGACGUUAGCGGAGGACGGGUGAGUAACACGUGGAUAACCUACCUAUAAGACUGGGAUAACUUCGGGAAACCGGAGCUAAUACCGGAUAAUAUAUUGAACCGCAUGGUUCAAUAGUGAAAGACGGUUUUGCUGUCACUUAUAGAUGGAUCCGCGCCGCAUUAGCUAGUUGGUAAGGUAACGGCUUACCAAGGCAACGAUGCGUAGCCGACCUGAGAGGGUGAUCGGCCACACUGGAACUGAGACACGGUCCAGACUCCUACGGGAGGCAGCAGUAGGGAAUCUUCCGCAAUGGGCGAAAGCUUGACGGAGCAACGCCGCGUGAGUGAUGAAGGUCUUCGGAUCGUAAAACUCUGUUAUUAGGGAAGAACAAAUGUGUAAGUAACUAUGCACGUCUUGACGGUACCUAAUCAGAAAGCCACGGCUAACUACGUG
RNAcentral lists this ribosomal RNA (497 nucleotides) under uncultured bacterium. Its description in RNAcentral is "partial 16S ribosomal RNA". It matches the Rfam family "Bacterial small subunit ribosomal RNA", at positions 28 to 507 of the family's 1533-position model. The record is from RNAcentral.